GAUGAAGAACGUAGUGAAAUGCGAUACGUAAUGUGAAUUGCAGAAUUCAGUGAAUCAUCGAGUCUUUGAACGCACAUUGCGCCCCCUGGUAUUCCGGGGGGCAUGCCUGUCCGAGCGUCAUUGCUGCCCUCAAGCCCGGCUUGUGUGUUGGGUCUCGUCCCCCUUCCCGGGGGGACGGGCCCGAAAGGCAGCGGCGGCACCGCGUCCGGUCCUCGAGCGUAUGGGGCUUUGUCACCCGCUCUGUAGGCCCGGCCGGCGCUUGCCGAUCAGCCAAAACUUUUUUCCAGGUUGACCUCGGAUCAGGUAGGGAUACCCGCUGAACUUAAGCAUAUCAAUAGGCGGAGGA
Molecule: unclassified non-coding RNA, 346 nt
Filed under: soil metagenome
Description: partial contains 5.8S ribosomal RNA, internal transcribed spacer 2, and large subunit ribosomal RNA
Rfam family: 5.8S ribosomal RNA (bases 1-120)
Source: RNAcentral